GGGAAUGGGUUAUUUUGGAUGUGUGGUUAUUUUGGACGAUUUUCUCUCACCAUGCGUUACUCUCCAUCAGUGCAACCCUUCCUUUCUCAGACUUAUCUCUUCCCUCCAUCAAUGUUGAUCUUUCUCCCUCGUGUCUUCUCAAACCCCCUCUGUACUACUUCUCAUACCCUUUGUAUUCUCCAUCAAUGCUCUGAUCCUACGUCUUCUCCUUCGUCUUCUUCUUGAAUCGUUCUCUUGAAACCCUAAUCCAUGGUCCUCUUUAUAGAACCAUGAAACCUUAUGCUCAUAAGAUCUACUUUCCUUCAACCCUAAUCCAUGGAUUCUCUCUAUCUCACUACGCUUCCCUCAUGCCUUCUUUCAUCACCAUACGUCCCUCACUCUCCAUCCAUGGAUCUAUACAGGCAACCCAUUUUCUAUGUAGAUCCGUUACAUUGAGAACUGCCCUUGCCACUCCAACAGCCCAAAUCCAUUUCUCUUGUCGCCUUUAAGAACCACUGUUGCUUUCUUUAACGAAGAUGCAUGGUAGGAGAAUGAUGGGUUGCAGAGCCUGGCAAGGGGUAAGGUGGAAUCAAUUUUAGACAAAGAGAAUUUUUCAUUGGAAGAGCUUCUCGACGAAGAAGAAAUAAUCCAAGAAUGCAAAGCCCUGGACAGUCGUUUAGUUAACUUUCUACCGGACAGAGCCCAGGUGGAACAACUAUUGUGCUACAUUGUUGAAGAACCUCCAGAGGAUGCUGAAAGUAAACGAGCAUUCAAGCUCAUCGAGAUGUACUGCGCCAAUUAGUUGAUUUAAUUGGAAUUACAUCUAUUAUGGAGGUUUUGGUACGACUUGUUAGUGCUAAUGAUCAUGUCUAUCCAAAUUUUAUGGAUGUGAUGCAAUGGUUGUCUAAGAGUGAUAUGCUGGAAAUGAUUGUUGAUAAGCUGAGUCCAUCUGUGCGUGACAAAUUGAAAUUUCAUUAACAUUUGGCCUUUUAUAUAUUUAUAUAAAUGUGAUUAUGGUUAUAAUAUUAAUUUUUCUCCUUAGACCAAAGUCUGCCUAAGGUUCAUGCAAAUGCGGCAGAAACAUUAUGUGUUAUAGCCCGUAAUGCCCCAUCUGCUCUUGCUGCCAAACUUUCUAGCCCCAGGUUGACCAAGAACCGCUUCUUUAUUUUUCAGUUUUUGUGGUAGUAUGCAGAUAAGUCAUCGUUGUUUUGACUUAUAAAUCACUUCUUAUGCAGUUUUGUUGCAAGGGUAUUCUGUUACAAGUAUGAAUUUAUGGACUGGUUAAUAUUCGAUUUAAAUUAUUUGAUCAUUCGAUAAGCAUCACUACAAGAAUUUUCCCUUGAAUGUACCAUUUAUGCACAUUCCCAAUAAACAUGGUUAGUUGAAUAUGAAUUCUAAUAACAUUUUCACUUUCAAUCCUUUGUCUUAAACCUUUUUUGUUUGUGUAUUUUUUAGGUGUUUCGAAGGGGUGGGGAGGAGAUGGAUUUCUUGUAACAAGGGAUUCAAGUGAAAAUUGUUCCUGAUGCAACAAAGGUGUAAAUAUUUGGCAACCUCUUUAUGCUUUUUCUUGGGGAACUUUAGAUUCAACACAUUCACUACAAGAAUUUUGCCUUGAAUGUACCAUUUAUGCACAUUCCCAAUAAACACGUGGUCAGACAAAGAUGUCUAUAACCAGACACUGCUGAAGCUAGGGGUUGGUUCAAGAAGAAUUAUGAAGAGAUCCAUACUUAUCAAGUGGAGAGAGACAGUGAUCUCAUAAUGUUUGUAUUACUUGUAAUUUGUGUUUUCAAGGCCUGAAUUAUUAUACAACUUUUUAAAUUAUAAUUUUAUAGCAGAAUUUGUGGAUUAAA
Benincasa hispida (wax gourd) is the source of this 1829-nucleotide non-coding RNA. The record is from RefSeq and is a predicted model, not a curated record. Lineage: Eukaryota; Viridiplantae; Streptophyta; Magnoliopsida; Cucurbitales; Cucurbitaceae.